Molecule: ribosomal RNA, 425 nt
Filed under: uncultured bacterium
Lineage: Bacteria
Description: bacterial SSU rRNA
Rfam family: Bacterial small subunit ribosomal RNA
Source: RNAcentral
UCGAGAAUCUUCGGCAAUGGGCGCAAGCCUGACCGAGCGACGCCGCGUGCGAGAUGAAGGCCUUCGGGUUGUAAAUCGCUGUCAGAGGGGAGGAAAUGCCGGUGGGUUCUCCCACCGGUUUGACCUAGCCUCAGAGGAAGGACGGGCUAAGUUCGUGCCAGCAGCCGCGGUAAGACGAACCGUCCAAACGUUAUUCGGAAUCACUGGGCUUAAAGGGUGCGUAGGCGGUCCGGGAAGUUGGGUGUGAAAGCCCUCGGCUCAACCGAGGAAUUGCGCCCAAAACUGCCGGGCUUGAGGGAGACAUAGGUGAGCGGAACUUAGGGUGGAGCGGUGAAAUGCGUUGAGAUCCUAAGGAACACCAGUAGCGAAAGCGGCUCACUGGGUCUCUUCUGACGCUGAAGCACGAAAGCUAGGGGAGCGAAGAG